AAAAAAAUUUAAAUCAUGUGCAAUUUAAAAGAUGGUUCCUCACUUACUUCAGCCACAUGUCAAUUCCCAAGUAGCUGCCUCAAGGGACAGUGCAGACCUGAACACACCCACCAUCACAGAGAGUUCCCCUGGACAGUGCUCCUGUGGAGCUGACAGCCUGCUAAAGGCCCAUCCAUGGUAGAAAGUGUUUCUGUUCUCAUUGUAGACACCAGGAAAGAUUUGGUGUUUAGUGAAGUAAAGACUAUUUUGGUUGGUCUUCUUACCAACUAAAGGCAAAAGGCUGUAAGAGGUUGCUGUAGACUCUAUAAGUCAGAGAACAUUUAAGAAAGGAAAGAGUGACAUCCAUUUGCAUUCAAUUCUCCCUUUUGGGUGGCUGAACUUUUAAAAAGCCAACAGCCAGUUGACAGCUAUUGGACGGCCCUCUCUCAAGGACUGUUCUAUGAGCCCUUGUCGGGCCCUCUGUUCCUUCUGGCCUGCACCUCCCCAGUCCCCAGGCAGCCUGGCUGCCAAAAAGGCUGGCAGUGCCCAAGUGUGAUACCUGGUAGGUGCGUUUCCUCUCUGCGUGCACCCUCUUGGUGCUCCCUGAGUAUUGUUUGCAUCCAUCUGCUCCUCUCACUCUUCCAUGCUGCAUAGUUAGGUGUUGUUUUGUCCCCUGGAGGAAGCCCAUAUUGUUCUAUUCCUACCACAGAAGAAAAAAUCAGGAACAAGGAAAAAUAUGGAAUGCAAGCCAGUGUUUCCAGGUCAUCAACACGCACACAAAUGUGUGUGAAAAUCAGUGUUAAUUUACUGCAAGAUUCAGUGUUUGCACAACUCUUAAGUCAUUUCCCGUAGGCUGCCCAACAGCCAUCACAUGGUAAUGAAUUCCUGUUAUAGCCCAUGUAUGAUGGCUAAAUCAGCCAACUAAUGAUCAAAGAAGAGAACAAAAUAAUAACAACAGUGAUAAGAAUAACAGUAGUGUAAUGAUUGAUUUUACCAGGCACUUGCAACUGGGGUCUAUGGGGCAAUAUAACAUGGGGCAGUUAUAACUGAUUUUCUCACUUUAACAUUUGUGGUUUCUACUGCCUUCAUUUAAAAAAUAAUAAAAACCCUAAGCUAUGAAAAUAGACCCAGACUAACAAUUAAACCAGAAACAAGUUGAAUGGAUAAUAGGUUAUGCUUUUGCCUUUUUUUUUUUUUCAUUUUAAGUUUUAGAAGCCCUUAAAAAUGUCUUUGGACUGUGGUAAAGUACUUGUUAACAAAAUCAGAAAGAAUCCUAAUUUUUGGAAUUUUGUGCUUAUCUGAUUCAUACAUGUGUACCUUUGACUUGGCUUUAGUUAUCUUAAGACACACAAUGGACUUGUACUUGAAAAUGAAGCAAGCCAUUUGAGAACCAGACCAUUUUAAAGACAAAUAGGCAUUUAAGAUUUAUUUUAUCUUUAUUAUUUUCCUCUCCUAAUAUUUCUUUAUUUAUCACUGAUAAAUACCAGGUUGAAAAGAGAAUCAAUUUGAUUUUAACAAUGUAAAAUUGAUGAUGAAUUAGAAGUGUCCAAAAGAGAGUUCUGAAUAAUGUAAAUAGAGCUCAAUGUUCAGUUGGUUCUUGGAAAGUUUUCUCUGCCCGUGCUCAUUUUCUUCAAUGGCGUUUUGUUAGUUUCCUUGUUUGGGGCAAAUAUCCUCUUGCAGUUUUCAGCCCAGAACAGUUAAGCCUUAAAUCCUAGAAAGUGGCUUUGUACAUGUGCUGGAGGUGGGGUGGGGUUACAUGGAAAGCUGAGUGUGUCUGCUUUAGAGAUACAAAUGGGCCUGCUACAAUAAAUCAUUAAAGACGCUCAAACGGAUGUUUAUUGGAAGAAUGCUUACCUCUGUAAGCUGAGGUAGAGGGCUAAAAGGCUGGGGGGCUGGGAUCUCACAUAACUAAUGGGCACACUUUUUACAGACAGAAGGGCCAGGCCGUAGUCCUCGUGGUAAAUCUGCAGUGACAGACGUUUGUUCUAUAUUUGUGAAUGACCUGAUUUGGCAUGCAUGCAGCUCGUUCUACUGACAAUAAUGGUAACAUGGUGUGAGGGAGAGAGAAGAAAGGAGAAGGAUUGGGAGGGGGCUGUUGGUGGAGGGAGGAGAGAAAUCCAGGCAGACAGAAAGGGAGAAGGGGAAGGGAAUAUUAAACAGCUGGAGAGCUGAGCAGUGAAGGGCAGCCCAGAGGAAACCUGCCUUUAGCAUCUGAUUAUUUUAAUUUGGGAGGAAGGUUGCAUUUAUUCCUAAUUGACCGGAGAGGAUCGGCUUUCCUUCCUCCCUGCUCCCCCCUCCCACUCCCCUCCCCAGCAGUCUCUGGGAAGGUGUGCAGAGCAGCUGUCAGACCACAGAAACCGGAUUCCUCUGCAUCAAGGAAGCCCUUGUUAUUUGCAAAAUUUGAUUAGCUCUUUACCUUUAUUAUUGCCCUUCAACCCAUGGGCAUUUCAGGUGAGCAAAGAACUGGCCUGAAAGGAGGAGCAGAGCCAAGGGUAGCCCUUGCUGCCUCUCCUCUCUCCAGCCUUCUCCCUUUCAAAGUGACAGAUAUAAUUGGGGGCAUGAAUAAUUAUGACACCGAAACAGGCCUCCACCAGAGAUGUCGGGUGGUGGGCAGAAUACUGAGUGAAGGGAACAUGAAAGCACUAGGUCAGGACCUGCUUGUUUACCUGCUGUGUGACUGUGGACAAGUCGUGUUCCGUCUCUGAGCCUUCCCAUUUCCUAGUCUGUGAAAUGCAGAUAUUCAAAAGAUGAUCGCAAAGGAGCCAUCGGGGUUGAAAACCAUAGCUCUUGUCACAAGUGCACUGCUAUGCAGGUAAGGAUCCCAGUGCCACUUCCUCAGAGAGGUCAUCCCAGCCUAUCCAAAGGGUGCUUCUGCCCUGUCAUUCUCUACCACAGCGCUUACCACUGUCUGAAACCAUCUGCCUGAUUUCUGUGCAAUUAUUUUAUUAGCCUACUUGGAUGGAAGCUUUGAGCAAGUCACACAGGCUGUCUCAUUCACUGCUUCCUUUUUGGUAAAGGAUGUAUAUUUAGAACUCUUCAGGAGAGCUGAAUGAAUAUGUCCAGCUAUUUUUCUCCAAGAAGUUUUGUCAGUUUGCAAGCGGUAGACAGAGAGUCUCAGGUCACAGGAGCAAAUGGGUAUUUAGGAGAGACAUCCAGGCCAGUAAGAGAUAAGCAGACAAUCUCCUGAGCCCACAGCCAGGUCCUAUUAAGAAAUGAAAAAAACAGUUGAGGCUUUAUCAGAUGACAGCCCCUCAGAUGGUCCAGCACCAACUACGUUCAUUGUUCCCUCAACUGUGAGCAUCCAUUACUCUCCAUUGCAGGGCUCUGCCUUUUCGGUGAGACGGUUUCAUUCUCACCAUUUCCAUUGCUCUGGGCUCUCCAGAAUAACCAGCUUUCUGAGUGUCCUGAGAUCAGACUCCUCCAAAAAGCAUUUGAGUGGUUUACCUAAUCACUGUCCACUGUAGGAGACUUCUUUGGGGGCAAAAUUGCCCUUGAAACCAGCAUAUGGGGUUCUCCAAGAUGGGAUCGCAUUAGAAAUAUCUGAGCAGCUUUUCCAAAAUGCACUUCCUGGGGACUCAUUGAUAGGUAAUAAGUUAGGCUCUCCAUCUGGUGUUGGAUUAGACAUCUGCUAUUUUGAAAAGUCUCCCCAGGUGAUUGUGUUGUGCACUUCUGGACCAUAGCCACUGUCGUCGAUGGCUGUCUUUGGAACAGGUGCUCAUCCUUGGCCCAGUCGUCUGUGACCAGAGAGGUGGAGUCACAGGGACAAAGCACAGGAAGGGAGUGUGGCACACACUCAGAACUCCAUACAGCCUUUCAAAUCCCCGCCCCUCUUUCUCUCUGUCCAUCCUUCCUUCCCACAUCACUUACGUAUUUCUCUUCCAGGUCAGGAUGUAUAGAUGUUGGAGCAGACUCUAAUAGUUCUCUCUUUCCCCUUUAGAAACACUUACAAGGAUUAAAACAAGUUGGCAUGUGAGAGCUCAAAUGCUCUAAAAGCUGGGAGGGAGCAAACGUGUGUACAUUCCAGAUGGGGUUAGGGAAACAGAGCACAUAAACAGGGCACAUAAACCUGGAUUCCAUUUCAAGAUUAGAACCAGCUUCUUAAAAUAAUAAUCCUUUAUUCUGUCAUCCUUCUCAUUCACAGUACCACCAAAGUAGCAGUAUCUAGAAAGGAAUUUGGUCUUUCCUGGGCCACAUAAGGGGCAGUUCACUGAACUACUUAUAAAAUGUAACAGCUGUUCAUUCCCUUUAUUAUAGAAAAAAGAAAGAGCAGGAGGAAGAGGAGGAGGAGGAGGAGGAGGAAUACAACACUAAAUAGAGACCAAUUCCCAUGGCUGACAGAAGAUCCUUGGGAGAGGAUGGGUUAGCAGGAGUGAGGAAAGCCAGGUAGUAAUGGGUGGUACUUUAUCCACCAUAAUGUUUACUGAGCUCCAAUUUGUUUAGUGUAUAGUAGAAAUAGAAGAUGAAGCCCUUGGCUUCCCUGAGCUGACAAUCCAAUAGGGGAGACCCAUGAAAGGGUCUAUAAUAUUAAGUAACAUGGUAUAUAUAAGGAGCUCAGUAAGUCUCGAAUCUACUGUAUAAUCUCAACAGAUGCUAAAUUAAACAAUAGCUGAAUGUGUUUGCUUGCUUGCAUUCCAACUUCCUUCUCCCUUACCUACCUCCACUUGAUUUCCCAGGCUCCUUUGUAGCAGGGGUGGCCACAUGACACAGGAGAAGUCUACUGAAAUUGUUUCUACCUCUUUGUACCUGGUUGAAUAGUGUCCCCAAACAAUUCAUGUACACCCAUAAAUGUGGCAUUAUUUGAAAAUAGAGUCUUUGCAUAUAUAAUAAAGAUGAAGUUCUAUGGGAGGAAGAUAGACCCUUGACCUGAUAUGACUGGUGUUCUUGAAAGAAAAAGAUGACGCAUCUAUAAGCCAAGGAAUGCCAAGGGUUGCUGGCAGCCACUGGAAACUAGAAGGAGCAAAGAAGGAUUCUCUUCCAGAGCACUCAGAGGGAGCAUGGUCCUAUCCACACCUUGAGUUAAACCUCUGGCCUCUAGAAUUAUGAAAGAAUAGAUCUCUAGUGUUUAAAGCAACCUAGUUUGUGGUAUUUUUGUCAUGGCAGCCCUAGGAAACUAAACUCUUUCUUCUGCUCUUCUUCUUAGAGUGAAGAGAGGAUGCCUUGAGGGACAUCACACAUCUUAGGAAUAUGAGAACAGAAGCUGUAUAAGUAAAUAUGGUAGACCAGAAAGACAAUAGGAGACUGUUUCAUUGUGACAAUUUCCCAGAUGAAUAAAUUUCCCAUUCAUUUAUCUCAAUAAAUAAAUCCCUAAGUGUUUCAGUCAUUUCACUUAGGUUUUCUGGUACAGAUGACACACCCCUAACUAAUGCUCUAUAGCCAAAUAGAAUGAUGCAGGAGUUAACGGAGUUCAUGUCCCAGCCAUGUGGACAUGUAGAUGUGUGGCCCCUAGGAAGUCAUGAAAGCAUCUUUGAUGCCAUUUAGUUCCUCUUUAAAAUAGAAAUAGUACUGUCAAGCUGAGUUUUAAAUGAGAUAUUUUAUGAGAAAGCCGGGGGUUGUCAAUCAGGCAGGGAGAACCCAUACAAAUUACCAGGGCUGCCAUCUCAGGGGGCCUAGAUCCUGUCUGGGUUGCGUAGUAAUACAAAUGCUGAAUGGAGACCAUUUCCCCACCACUGUCCUUAUUGGGAAAGCCCCUAAUAAAUUUUUUAAACAGGAAGCAGCUAUCAGAAGCCUUGGUAAAAAUAUUUUAUAAAGGACCAUACUAAUAUUGGGGAAUAUUAAAGUACCAGUUAAAUAACUCCAUUGUACAACUUACAAAAGCAGUCACUGGGAUGAAGGGCUCUCAAUGUUCUCAUUAAAUGGAAGGGAGAAGGGAGGAUUUUCUCAGUUCCUUCUGAAACAGUUCUAUCCCACAAACUUCCCAAGCCAUCCCUUUCUGUCUUGCCUAUCCCUGGACCCUUCCUUUGUCUCUGAGCAAAUGCAAGACAAAAGUAGUCAGGAGGCUGCAGAAAGAGAACACUGUAAGCCCUUCCUAGAGUGAAGCAGGCCUUGAUGCAGUGAAGGGAUAAACCUCAGGGUAGACCCCAGAAGAAUGCCACUGACGCCCUGGAAGUCCGAGGUGCCACAUGGAUACAUCUUUCACCCACUCCCCACUUGGCAGGGGGCCUCUCCUUGUGCAAGCCAAGUUUUCCAAAGGCUGGAGGGUGCUUCCCAAAGUCUAGUGCCUCAAGAUACAGGUCUUAGCCAGAUUCAGGGGUGCACAUUUGUAAUCCCAGCUACUCAGGAGGCUGAGGCAGGAGGAUUGCAAGUUCAAGACCAACCUGAGCAACUUAGCAAGACCUCAUCUCAAAAUAAAAGUAAAAGGACUAGCUAGCAUGCACCAUGUCCUGAGUUCAAUUCCCAGCAUCUCCUCCAAAAAGAUACAGGCCUCAGCUUGGCUGGGUGUCUCAGUUCCAGAAAUUUUCAGUUUCUCUCAGAAUUCAACUCAAAUCACCUGCUUGUAGAUUUGAGCUAACAUAGGCAGCCCCUAGUCCCUCUUUCCUGUACCUUCCACCCAUUCUCACCCUCUCACCACGUUAGAGCUAAGUGAAUAUGGUUUUCCAAAUAUAGUUUUGCUGCCAGUGUGUUAGGCCUUCUAAUGAGCCACAGUAAUUGCUUCUCUAUUUUCCAAAAUGAAAAUGAACCUCCGAAGAGCAGCUGGUUCACUGUAAUGUUCUCUUCCCUCCAAUUACAUACUGCAUUCCUCCAAGUCAGUCAAACGCCGGCCUUGACUGCUUCAUCUGUGAGCAGGGCCCGUGGGAGAGGCUGGAGGAAUGUGCUGAUGUCAAGGAAACAGGCCUGGAGCCUUGAAUACUUGGGUAUAUUUAAGGGAACAGGGAAGAAAGAGAAGUAGGAGGAGGAAGAUGGGAAAGAUCUGGUUUUACUUUUGAAUUCUAAGAUGUCCUAGCUUGGGUUGUGCUUUUCAGUGUAUCUGAAAGGAUAACUGAAACUUUAGACAACAGAGCAAAAAUGUCUCUGUCUUCCUCUCUUUUUCAAGAAUCAUGACAAAGCAAUAAAGAAAAGAAUCAAUAACAUAAACCCCAUAGUCUACAGGGGCAGGACACAUCUGUAAUCUGGAGCCCCCAGUGUAUGAAGAUGAGAAAAAUUGAUGAGCCACUUCAUAGAUCUACGAAAAGUCCAGCCCAAGAGGCAGAGGGUAGAAUCAAGUGAAUCAAGCCAUUCUCCCUGGAGAAUAUAGAGGAGUCUAGGGAGUUGGGAAACCAACAUUCUGCAUUAGUCAGAAAUCAGCACAGCACGGAAAAUAACUUCUGUGGUAUUAAGAUAACAAUACCAGGUACCACUUCUGGAGCACCUCAUGGUGCCUGGUCCUCUACAAACAUUCUCUCAUGCAAUGCUCCUAAGAGCAAAACACAUUAUUUUCCAAUUUUAUAGAUGCAAAAACCGAGGCUUAGAGGAACAGUCAUUUGUCCCAGAUGUCAGAGAGUAAGACACUGAACCACACAUUCUUUUUUUUUUCUUCUUAAUAGUACUAGGGAUUGAACUCAGAGACCUCACAUUGAGCUAUACUCCUAGUUCUUUUUAUUUUUUAUGUUGAGACAUGAUCUUGUUAAGAUGCUCACACAGAACUUAAGCUUGCGAUCCUGCUUCCUCAGCCUCCCAAGUAUGGAAGUACAGGUUUACACCACCACUCCCAACAUACACCAAACUAUUCUUAAUUUCAAAGUCCUACCAUGAGCCCCCACCACUUCCUCAGGUCAAUUGGAGCAUGUGAGUCACUUGUACCUAUGUACAGGUGUGGAGCCAGGUUAACAUGAUUGGCAUGGGUUAGUCAGGGGCACUGUUGUCUGGGCUCCUGCUUCACUGUCUGCUCAGCCAUUUUCUCAAGCUGGACUGUGCUUUGGAAAUGUUACAGAAACAAGCAUCACCACCUCCCUCUUGUCACUUUCUGUUGGAGCCCUCCUGCUGGAAUGAGGUACUCCCAAAAGUGGAUCCUUUCAGCUCUGAGGUAGGUGCAGGUCUCUAGAGACUAAGAUUCCAGCAAAUAUACUGGCCAGCAUCCAAGAGGGAAGAAGGUUGAAACAGUUUGGAUUUUAAAUAUCCUCCAAAGACUCAUUCAAGUUCUGCUCACUUGUCUGUGGUGCUACUGAGAAGCAGGAAAUCUUUAGGGGGUGGGGCCUCAUGGGAGGAAGUUAGGUCAUUGGUGUUGUGCCUUUGAAUAGAAUGUUGAGACUCUGGUCUCUUCCUCUCUCUCUCUCUCUGCUUACCAGCCACCAUGAGAUUACCAGAUCUCCUCCACCACAUGCUUCUGUGAUGUGCUGCCCUACCACAGACCCAGAGGAUCAUGGACUGAAAGCUCUGAAACCAUGAGUGAAAAGAAACCAUUCCUCCCUUAAGUUGAUUAUGUCAGGUAUUUUGUCAGAGCAAUGAAGAGCUAAUGCAGAGGAUGUCAAGGAAACUGCUCCUCCCUUCCUACACUCUCCUGUUUGUUACUGCCCAGCACCUGUGCUGUAACAUCCAAAGCAGGCUAUAGAACCCACAACUGUCCAGAUCCCCUCACUGGAGCCACAAAAGUCUGAAUGAAUCUGAGUCACAAAGAACCACAUCCAUUUGAUAUGCAGGUUCAGAAGUGUAAAAUAAAGUGUGCAGUGUCUGUUUGCUAGCCCCUUUCUGAUUUCUGACUUUUUGUUCAAAGAUCAAUCAUAAGAUCCAUGAGAGUCCAUGAAUAAGUGGCUGGCCACUCUGUUAGGCAUGUUGGAGAUCAAGCGUAUUGUGUCUGCCCUCAAGAAUCCAUAACCAGUCAGAGCACUCUGGCAACCACAUCUGAAAAGAGAAGGAAAGACCCCAGGCUGUGUGCAAUUAAGAGCCACUGGAAAGGUGUUCUGAGAUGUACCAUAGUUGUCCUCAGUGAUCUCCCUAAUGCUUCCACUAAGUUGUGAAUUCUUUAAAGGUUUUUGUUUUUUUUAUUUUUGGACUUCAGUGCAUAGCAGUGAGAGGGGCAUGUGCCAACUGCUCAUAAGCAUCUUUUGAAUGAAUGAAUGAGUGAGGGGACAAAUGAACAAGUGAAGGAAUGAAUAUGUUCCAAGGAAGGAAUACUGCAGAGAGCAGAGAGCUGGAGUGGUGAGGUAGUGCAUCCAGGAGGAAACAGGACUACAGCCAAACAGGGAGUUGUCAUCCAGUGACUCUGUAGACCUGAAAGAAUCUUCCAAAGGUCAAGAUGGUCUCUAGAAAGGGACUAACCUGGGACUGAGCAUGGAAGUCAGGAAGUCGGGCUUGUGAUAAACUUUGGUGAGACGGAUGGAGAUGAAUGGAUGUCAUGGGAACACCCAGCUAAGCCAUUCCAGGAGAGACUAAGCAGAGCAGUGAUGACCGUGAUUGUUAAUGUGAAACAGAAAACAGGAGAAAAAACAAGACUCUAUGUUAAAGAUGGAGCGGGAAUCAUGGCUUCUGACUAAAGGAGAACAACAAGUAGGAUGACAACGGCAACAACAACAACAACACAAGAUUUAAGUGAGCUAUCAAAGAGAAAGAGACCGCCAGCAAAAGGCUGCCACACAAAGGAAAAGGAAAUCCACAGUGCUGGGAGACACCGAAGGGACCAGGGGAUGUGCACACCAGUGUUUGUAUCUUCUCUCUGUGUGUACACAGUCCAUGAGAGUAAAUUAUUGUCAUGGGUAAGGGUUUAACAUUCUUGACCUAUACUAUGGCUUAAAAAAAAAAAGUAUGCAACAUGACUGGAAUGCCAAUUUGAAGUGGAGAAGCAUUUAGGGAGAAUGAAUAGACUGUGCUUCAGAAGUAUUUUCAUGGAAGGGAAUGAGCCUCUUUAAUUUGUUCUCUGCAGAGGCUUUGAGAGAGCUAACAUUGUAACCUGCUAAGUCAGGCACCAUGCGCAUAAUAAUGCAGAGAUGAUGGCUUAAGAGUUACUGUGCUACUAGGUUUUGGUGUUAAGGCAGCAGUAAUUGUUGCAAAAGUCACUGAUAAUUUUGGUUAGCAAGUGAUACAAAUGGAACUGGUCGGGUAUGCUGUUCUUUGGGACCCUCCCUCACCCACAGCCUCUGAACUCUGCAAAUCCUGAUGCAGUGUCCUUUAGUCCCCUUUCAUUACCUACAUAGCUGGUGCAUGCAGUUGGGAAGUGUGGUGGCGGGGCCCAUUCCAAAGGAGUCCACUGCCUCACAGUCCCUGGUGCUGGAGGAGCAAAGCCAUUGCUUUCAUUCAGCUGGAAGAGAAUGAAACCCACAUUCUAUGCUGUUGUCUCACUGCAAGCCAGGCCUUCAAUUGGAAUGUUGGUGUCAAUAUUUAAAGAGGUGUGCCAUGACAGCUUAGAAGUGAGGCGUCCUGAGGGCAGAGGUGACUUCACCUCCGGGUUAAUCCUGCUUUGGAAUUGUUUUCUGUGCUUUUACUGCCCCUGGUUCCUAGGAAACAAGGUUGCUGUUUGUGGAGUGGCAAAUAGGGCUACGCUUAGAUUCUGGACUGGCAGUUAACAUUUUGCAUUAAUCCCAUGCUUUAUCCAUCAAUCCCCCUUUUUCCCUCCACCUUCUUGCCCUCUGAUGAACAUUAACAAUGUUGGCACCUAACCACACUUCUCAUUCGGCUUCCGCUGACUUCUGUCCUGUGAGGUGCACAGAAAUAAAAAUGUCAGUUUGUCAGUCCCUUUUAUGCUUACAAAGUGUUCCUAGUGUGAAGACCCAACCAUGAGCCGAUCAUCUUCACCCUCGAGCAAAUCCAUGUAACAAACAUUUAUUGAGCCAUGUGAUGCAACAUGGAAGCAAUUCAAGGUAACAAACAUUUAUUGACCCUCUGAUUGUAAUUGAUCCAAGGUCCUGAGUCAUUAACAAAAUUGUUUUUGUGACUUUCAUGAGGAUGUCAAGGUGAUUCUUGCAGUUAGCAUGUGGGCAUGUGAUUAUAUCUGUCCAUGGUGGGGAG
Molecule: long non-coding RNA, 10893 nt
Filed under: Heterocephalus glaber (naked mole-rat)
Lineage: Eukaryota; Metazoa; Chordata; Mammalia; Rodentia; Bathyergidae
Description: lncRNA (ENSHGLG00100033459.1)
Source: RNAcentral